GCCGAUCCUGUACAUCUCUCUAUAUGCUGAUUGGCAAAAUGGGUCUUAUUUUGAUUCUCUUAACUAAUUUAUCAAUAAGGCACAUGCAGCUCUAAGUAAGGACAUUUACAAUGCUCCACCGGGUUGAGUGGCAUCAAGGAUCCACGCACGUCGCAUUCAAACAUGUAGGGUGGAGGAGAGAGGAAAGAGAAUGAGUAUGAUUUCGCAUGUGUCAGAGUGACAUGUAGAGAACACAUGCAACUUGGGGGAGAGAACUAUCAAUUGAGAGAGAAAGGGAAAGGGGAAGGAUGAUCACGUAGGGUACCAUAGAAAAGCCUCAUGCCCAGCUGAAGUCAACCAUUGUCAUGGCCGUCGAGCUUAGAUCCGAUGGCAUUGGAUGCUGUCGAUGCUUGAUCUGGUGAUCUUGGAUGCCGUCGACAGCCUGAACGAAACGACGGUGUUGCCAUGGCUACCAUAUGAUGGCAUCAUGGGGUGUCGUGGAGCGGGGGCGAAGAGGAGAAAGCGUACCUGGAGCAAUGUCAAUGGAAGAGAGCGAUCAAUGAAGGAGAUUGGCCUGACCUAAUUGAUCCAAGACGCUAACGACAGGAAACUCUAUGCUCGACCAGGUGACCUUGGAUACUGCUAACUAGAUCUUGUGAUCUUAGCCAAUAGCCCAAGCAAAACGAUGGUGCCGCCAUGGCAGCCGAAUGGCAGCAUCAUGCGGUAUCAUGGCAAUGAGGAGAAAUUGUGGCGCAGGGUGAAAAGGAGAAACAUGGAGCAAUAGCGACAAAAAAGAGAAGUGCUGAUUAAAGUCAAAAGGAGGAUAGUGCUUAUGAUGACCAGAGUUAUAUAUAUAAAUGGCUGGUGUUAAAAUAAAAGUAAAGGAUGUAUAUGGCUAAUCUAUAAACUUGAAGGUACCUCUAGAAGCUACUUCUCAUUGUGUGGCAUGAUUUUUUUUGUGUGUGUGUGGAUAUAAGCUGAUUUUUCUCAUGAGACCAACACCAUGAGGACACUCCCUAUUGUGAAUGUUGUACUUGCAAUAGGCACGCAUGUAAGAAGACCUUAAAUGAGACUUUCCUUAUACAGGACCCCUAAAUAAAAAUAUUGUAGUAUGAACAAAUUUAAUUUUUGGGUUAAUGGUUGUAUGGAAAUAGUCUUUAAUUUGAUGGUGUAGGUAAUUUAGAAGGUAGACUCAACUAUCGAACAUACACCCUUAUUAUGUAUUGUGGCUCUAAUAUAAUGCUCUAGCUAUAACACUACUAUAGAAAAUGACUUUAGUGUCGACUCGUAACCUCUCAUCAGUGGCAGAAAUAGGAACAGAACUAAACUUUCGGCAGUAAUGAGGGGAUGUCAUUAUUGCCGGAUUGAGAACUGGCAUGGAUUGUUCCCACAACCCAAAAGAAUAGUCGGUUUGAUGAAUCAGUCGAUUCAUCGAGCCAAUUCUUCAAGCAUCCACCCAUACCCUCAGAUUUCCUAAGAUACCUUAGUCAACAUAAACAAAUAGAAAAAGGGGCAUAUCUAGAUCAAGAUCAACAUCACCAGUAUAUAUCACAUCACCAACAGAUCAUCAACAUGUUCAUCAAAAAAUCAUCAAGUCCAACAUGAUGCAUCAACAAAUAUCGACAGAUCGCAUGCAAGAUCAUCCUAGAUAUAAAAAAAAAUCAAGAAUCUACUAACCAUUCCAAGCAAAAGUGCAGGUUGUAGCGGUGAUCAUCCUCAGAGAAGGCGCCGUUGGUGCAGUAGUCCUCAGGGCUAGUGGCCACCUCUAUCACCCGUGCAUGAAGAGCCGCAAGGAGGAGGGUGGACAUAGAGGAGAGAGUCAAACGGUGGAGGAAUGCAGGGCGGUGAGAUCAGAGGCCCUAGUCCUCUAGGCAGCUGGAUCUGGUGUCCCCCAUCCUCUAGCUAGUCAGAUCCAGUGACCCAUGAUGAAGGAGAGAGGAAGGACAAUGUAA
Molecule: long non-coding RNA, 1931 nt
Filed under: Oryza sativa (Asian cultivated rice)
Lineage: Eukaryota; Viridiplantae; Streptophyta; Magnoliopsida; Poales; Poaceae
Description: long non-coding RNA (OSAT_LNC001161)
Source: RNAcentral